GGGUGAUUAGCUCAGCUGGGAGAGCAUCUCCCUUACAAGGAGAGGGUCGGCGGUUCGAUCCCGUCAUCACCCA
Edwardsiella ictaluri 93-146 is the source of this 73-nucleotide non-coding RNA. NCBI's taxonomy places the organism in Bacteria, Pseudomonadati, Pseudomonadota, Gammaproteobacteria, Enterobacterales, Hafniaceae. The record is from Rfam.